GUUUCCGUCGUGUAGCGGUUAUCACGUCUGCUUAACACGCAGAAGGUCCCUGGUUCGAUCCCGCGCGGAAACA
Molecule: transfer RNA, 73 nt
Filed under: Schistocerca americana (American grasshopper)
Lineage: Eukaryota; Metazoa; Arthropoda; Insecta; Orthoptera; Acrididae
Description: tRNA-Val
Rfam family: tRNA
About the family: Transfer RNA (tRNA) molecules are approximately 80 nucleotides in length. Their secondary structure includes four short double-helical elements and three loops (D, anti-codon, and T loops). Further hydrogen bonds mediate the characteristic L-shaped molecular structure. tRNAs have two regions of fundamental functional importance: the anti-codon, which is responsible for specific mRNA codon recognition, and the 3' end, to which the tRNAs corresponding amino acid is attached (by aminoacyl-tRNA synthetases). tRNAs cope with the degeneracy of the genetic code in two manners: having more than one tRNA (with a specific anti-codon) for a particular amino acid; and 'wobble' base-pairing, i.e. permitting non-standard base-pairing at the 3rd anti-codon position.
Source: RNAcentral